CCUACGGGAGGCAGCAGUGAGGAAUAUUGGUCAAUGGACGAGAGUCUGAACCAGCCAAGUAGCGUGAAGGAUGACUGCCCUAUGGGUUGUAAACUUCUUUUAUAAAGGAAUAAAACGAGGCACGUGUGCCUUUUUGCAUGUACUUUAUGAAUAAGGCUCGGCUAACUCCGUGCCAGCAGCCGCGGUAAUACGGAGGGUGCGAGCGUUAAUCGGAAUUACUGGGCGUAAAGCGCUCGUAGGCGGUAUGUCAAGUCAAGGGGGAAAUCCCCGAGCUCAACGUGGGAACUGCCUUUGAAACUGGCAAACUGGAGUGUGUGAGAGGAUAGUGGAAUUCCAGGUGUAGGAGUGAAAUCCGUAGAUAUCUGGAGGAACAUCAGGGGCGAAGGCGACUAUCUGGCACAUAACUGACGCUGAGGAGCGAAAGCGUGGGUAGCAAACAGGAUUAGAUACCCGGGUAGUC
This 460-nucleotide ribosomal RNA is filed under the name uncultured bacterium. RNAcentral describes it as "partial 16S ribosomal RNA". It matches the Rfam family "Bacterial small subunit ribosomal RNA", at positions 338 to 795 of the family's 1533-position model. The record is from RNAcentral.